CNUACUGCGUGGAGGAUGAAGGCUCGUGGGCUGUAAACUCCUUUUCCUAGAGAAGAAGUCUGACGGUAUCUAGGGAAUAAGCAUCAGCUAACUGCGUGCCAGCAGCUGCGGUAAUACGUGGGAUGCUAGCGUUAUCCGGAUUUAUUGGGCGUAAAGCGUCUGUAGGUGGCUUCGCAAGUUUGUUGUUAAAUCAUUCAGCUUAACUGAAUUCCAGCAGCAAAAACUAUGAAGCUUGAGUGCGGUAGAGGAAAAGGGAAUUCCCUGUGGAGCGGUGAAAUGCGUAGAGAUAGGGAAGAACACCAAUGGCGAAAGCACUUUUCUGGGCCUGCACUGACAUUGAGAGACGAAAGCUACGGGAGCGAGUAGGAUUAGAUACCCUAUUAGUCCUAGCCGUAAACGAUGGAAACUACAUUUUGGAGCUCUAGGAGCUCAGCUUCGUAUUCUUCAGAAUGGUAGCUAACGCGUUAAGUUUCCCGCCUGGGAAAGUAUGCUCGCAAGAAGUGAAACUCAAAGGAAUUGACGGGAGCCCGCACAAGCGGUGGAGCCUGUGGGUUAAU
RNAcentral lists this ribosomal RNA (557 nucleotides) under uncultured bacterium. RNAcentral describes it as "bacterial SSU rRNA". It matches the Rfam family "Bacterial small subunit ribosomal RNA", at positions 393 to 950 of the family's 1533-position model. The record is from RNAcentral.